AGGUUAAUUUAUUUUUCAUUCUUAAAAAAUGACAAGAACACCACUGUUUUUUUAAAAAAUGGGAAAAGAUGGAAUUGUAAAAAAGAAAGAAAAGAGACAUGGUGGCGCACACACUGCAAUUCUAGCCUGAACUGAGGCUGGAGGAGAUCUCAAGUUGGGGGCCAGCCUUGGCAACAUAGUGAGAACCUGCCUCAAAGUAAAAAAUAAAAAACACUGGCUAUGUGGCUCAGUGGUAGAGCACCCCUGGGUUUAAUCCCCAGGGCUGAAAAAAAUAAAUAAAAUAAAGAGCACCCAUUACUACUAUUUCUAGUCAACCAUCCCACCAGCCAAUGGAUGUUUUCUCAGAGGCUCUUAUGUGUCAAACCCUGGGCAAGAGACCCAGUUCCUCCUUCAGGCUGCCUGGGGCCUAGGCCAGGUCAGCAGUGGCAUCACCCAGGGAGAGACCAGGGCCUCUGCACCUUCUGUGGCCUCCAUCAGCCGCCCCUCACCCACCAGGGCUGCCCCCAUCUGCAUCCAAGCUGAGGCCAGAGAGCCAAACCAUCCAGAGAGCUUGCCAGCCAGGCCUUGUCCAGCGAGGCUGUGCCCAAGAACUCAGAGCAGGAAGACUUGAAGCCACAGCACAGUCCACUGCAGUCAAGCCAGGAGAGGGCUGGAGCAAGGAGGAGCAGGCUGGGCUGUGGUCCCCCAGGCAGGCAGCAGUAAGGGGCUGGUCCCCAGGGCAGCUCUCAGGAGGAGGGGAGCCUGGUUGUGAGGCCCUAGUGGGCUGGACUUUGGACUUCAUCCUGAGGCCACUGGAGGGGGUUAAACCUAGGAGUGAGCUGACCAGUCCGCUUCUAGCAAGAUCAUUCUGGAUCCCUGUGGAAUUUGGCCCAUAGUGACAAGAGCAGGGCCAGAGACCUUCAGAGACUGGCACCUGAUAAGUUAGGGCAGUUGUGAGAGUCAGGGUCAGCAUGACAGUGGGGGAGGGGAGUCUAUUUCAGAUAGGGUGGUCAGGAAAGGCCUCUCUGAGGAGGGCACUUCUUAGCUGAGGCCUAGAGGAAGUGAAGGAAUAAAGCUCUUGGGGCAGGGGAGGAGGGGAACUAUCCAAGUAAAGGGUACAGCAAGUGCAAAGACCCUGAGGCAGAUGCACAUGUGUCAGAGAAGCCAGUGUGUGAGGACUGCAGUGCGGACUGGAGAACAGAGGGAAGACCUAGCAGGGCCAUUGCGAGGGUUUAAGAAGGCAAGGCCUGAUCUUGUUUUUGUUACGGAAGGAUCACUCUGUGUGCUCUGAGAACAGACUUGGGUGGAGUGGUGGGUGGGGGGCUCAAGUCAGGGGAAAAGUAGAGGCCUGACCGUCAGUGUGGUAGGAGGUGGUCUCACUUUAUGCAGAUUGUGAAGGUGGCAUCCAGAGCAUUUGUGGAUGGACUAGAUGUGGCCUGUGAGAGGAAGCAGGGCCUGGUUGAUGGUUGCUGGUUGCCCAUUCACGUCCUCUUAUCUCCCCUGAUCUCUGGGUGUCUCCCCUCUGCCUGUGUCCUCCCUCUUCUUAUCUCCCAUUCCCUGUCCUCCCCUCCCUCUGCCUUUCCCUUCUCACUCCUCCUCUCCCUCACCCCUCUGCCCGGCCUCCCCUGCCCCAUCUCUUCUAUUUCAGGAGUCCAGUGACUUCAUGCUGUCACCUCCCGCAGGCCAGAGAUGCUGCCCUUGAGGACAGGCAGCAGCCCUGAUGACUGUGGCCAGGGCCCAGAGGCUGGGAGCUAAGGAGAAGGUAGAUGUGGCUCCCAGGACCCACCCUGGAGCGCCCGCCUCCCCUGGUGGGAAAGCCCAGUCUCCACCUGGGGCAUGUCCAUCCCUGAGCCCCAGAGGCUCAUGGGAAAUCCUGAAAGCAAAGCCCAGGGUUCUUCAAUGCCCUCAUGUAGCCCCUGCUCCACUUGGCGGGCUUUGGGGCCAGGGGCUCUCCAGGCCUCCUCCCUGCCCUAGUGGAGAAAAAAAUACACUAGCUGAGGACUGGCGUUGUAGCUCAGUUGGUGGAUCAUUUGCCUGGCUUGUGUCAGGCACUGGGUCCGAUCCUCAGCACCACAUAAAAAUGAAUAAAUUAACUAAAGGUAUUGUGUCUGUCUAC
RNAcentral lists this long non-coding RNA (2095 nucleotides) under Marmota monax (woodchuck). Lineage: Eukaryota; Metazoa; Chordata; Mammalia; Rodentia; Sciuridae. The record is from RNAcentral.